GUCGAAGGAGUUGAUGGGGGUGGAGGGAGACGUUAGAUUUGGAGGGGGGCCACCUUCUGCAUUUGUCACCGCGUCAAUGCUGGGCAGCUGCCAGCCCACCCUUCCCCCGCUCCCCUUCCAGCAACUUCUUCCAACAGCCUCUUCCAAAGGACCCUCUAACUCUCCUCCCUAAUGCCUCGCCCUUCGAGCAGGGCACAAAGAAAUCUCAGUCUCCUUCCAUAAACUUUGUGCUUGCAGUCACCGCGCCCCUCCAGGAGCCCCCGCCCUCCGCCCUUCCAGUUUCUUGGCAGGAAGGUUAGGCCACUGGCAAAGUCCCCGGGCGAAAGCCAGCUGAUCACAAAUGCCAACUGUGUGUCUUGGGGCCCGUUAAGUCCUCUCAUCUGCCAGGGCUCUCAGGAGACCAUUUCAUUGCUGACAGUUCUCGGGAGAGUGCUGCAGACCGGACCAUCCCCCACUAGGCCCACAAGGAUGGGGUGCUGAGCUGUACUCAGAGCGCUUUUCUGCAUCUUGCUUGAGAGUUUCCAUUUGAAAUAAUAAAAUCCCGUUAUCGGGAGUCAGGCAGAUAUUUUUCUCUCUUCCAAAAGGACUGUGGUUAGCUGGAUGAUUCGCUGUAGGUAGGAAGGGAACUAUCACCUCUAAUAGGAAGCACUAACUUUUUACAAAGUCUGUGGAAGUUCUGCAGCUCCGCGCUGCCCCCGUGACCUUCCUUUCUCUUAGAUCUGCCACGGGAAGCAUCAUGGAGCUAAUAACAGAUUUAAUCUUGCCAUAAUUUUUCAAUCAGGCUGCCUUAUUUCCUGAUAUGAUGGGUGUGAGGUAAUGCAUCGAGUUUCAGGACACUUGAUCAUGGAAAACCAACGCCACCCAGAAGAAAGGACCGACAACUGGACCUUGACAUGCAUAGACUGAAUGAAGAUGGGUUAAAUAGUUCUACACUGAGGAGCCUGGAGGUGUGACUCCAUUUGAUACAUUAGAGGAAGGCAACAGCACUGUUGUCAACCUGAAGAUAUAUUGUGACUGGAAACGUAUUACAUAUCUUAAAGAGUAGUUUCUCUUCACUGUAACAUAAGAAUUUGUGCUAUCAUCUUCUUCCUUGAAGCAAUAUUGGCUACCACAUGUCAAUGCAUUGUGAAAAGACAUAGUGAGAAGAACGGUUAGACCCGGUUAUAACACCACAUACCCUUCUCUGUAUUCCUCCUCUCUCUGUAGUCGUCUUACAUAUCGUUAUUUUCAGUUUUAGGAAGGAUGUUUAUUACAGGGUGAGACCUCAGAGUGGGAUACCUUUGAGCCUCACUGACUUGGAGUUAGUGGGUGGAGGAGGGGAGGAGAAUGAGUUAGUCCUUGGAUAGAUAAAUGUAUCUCUGGUCUCUGAGUCACUAGUUAAGAGAUAACUUUUGAAAGCUCUCUGGUCUUUCUCAGGAGUAAACAGCACAGAGAUUCUGAAGUGUAUUUGUUACUGCAUCACAUCCAAGCUUAUCCUGCCUGAAUUAUUUUCUGAGAAUAUAACAAAUUCCAUGCCAGACACAUUUCUAUUGCAUAUAUCUAAAACAGUUUACAGUCAUGAUGAAUGUUUAGGGCUGUUUAAUCCAGAAUCUCACCCUGAUUUGAAAUACAGCAAAUGCACCAACUCCAAAAUUUCCCGUAGUAGUAAUAGGUUCAGCAUGUAGUUUCUCUACGUACCAGAGAUAACUUUCUGAAAAGAUCAGACAGGAAAAUACUCUAAUGUCUGUGGUACACCCUGGUGGACUUUACCGGAGCUUUGAUGCUAUAAACAGAGGAAUUUAAAAUCACACGCUUAGAUCUCUCUGACUUCUGACUUCUCGCUUACCAUGAGCUGUCUUCUUUCUCAGGGUCAGAUUUAUCAGACGAUCAGCUGUCUGUUUUGUUUCCCAGAUUCUGGAUGUGAUAGAGGUACAGACAUCAAAAAGACAAAGCCACCGAAAGAAACAUACCCCCUUUUCACUCCUCAUUUAACAUUGUUUAAUCUAUUUUUUUCCAUAGAAUUUUCUAUGGCAUGAAAAGUGAAAAGAAGAGUUAACGUUUUGCCAGACCUAAAACUAGAGAUAAGUGGGGAGCACAGAGUUCAUUCCUAUUGCUGUUCAUGCUCCUAAAUAGUCAUAGAUUUGUGGUGUCAUUUGCUCACACUUUUGCCUGUGAUGUUUCUUUCAUUUUUCUAGAUUGAUUCAUUACUCUGUUUAUGUGUGGUAUGCUUUUUCAUAUACAUUACCAUUUUUCUUUUGUCAUUGUGUUAUCUAUUAUAUCUUUUUGUUUGUGUAUUAAAGAUACUGUGCUUAUAUAUUAAAGGCAUAAUAUCUAUUCUGAGAUUAUAAAACAUGUGAAUUGUUUACGUAGCUAAUUUAAUUUUUUCUCUAUCUGGACUUAACUUUUAUAUAAAAAUGAGGCAUAAUUAUGUUUUGA
Long non-coding RNA from Meriones unguiculatus (Mongolian gerbil), 2415 nucleotides. RefSeq lists it as uncharacterized. The transcript is spliced from 2 exons. Lineage: Eukaryota; Metazoa; Chordata; Mammalia; Rodentia; Muridae. The record is from RefSeq and is a predicted model, not a curated record.